This 65-nucleotide transfer RNA is filed under the name Cyclommatus strigiceps vitalisi. RNAcentral describes it as "tRNA-Ala". Lineage: Eukaryota; Metazoa; Arthropoda; Insecta; Coleoptera; Lucanidae. The record is from RNAcentral.
AGGAUUAUAGUUAAUAAUAACAUCUAAUUUGCAUUUAGAAAGUACUAAUGAAUUAGUUUAUCUUA